UACAGAGGGUGCAAGCGUUAAUCGGAAUUACUGGGCGUAAAGGGUGCGUAGGUGGACGCAUAAGUCGGAUGUGAAAUCCCUGGGCUUAACCUAGGAACUGCAUUCGAUACUGUGAGUCUAGAGUACGGUAGAGGUAAGUGGAAUUUCCGGUGUAGCGGUGAAAUGCGUAGAUAUCGGAAGGAACAUCAGUGGCGAAGGCGACUUACUGGACUGAUACUGACACUGAGGCACGAAAGCGUGGGGAGCAAACAGG
This 253-nucleotide ribosomal RNA is filed under the name uncultured bacterium. RNAcentral's name for it is "partial 16S ribosomal RNA". It matches the Rfam family "Bacterial small subunit ribosomal RNA", at positions 524 to 776 of the family's 1533-position model. The record is from RNAcentral.